Oryza brachyantha (malo sina) is the source of this 2709-nucleotide long non-coding RNA. RefSeq lists it as uncharacterized. The record is from RefSeq and is a predicted model, not a curated record. The transcript has 24 exons. NCBI's taxonomy places the organism in Eukaryota, Viridiplantae, Streptophyta, Magnoliopsida, Poales, Poaceae.
AUUUGUUCCAGUACUUCUAUGUUUAUUUUUCUACUGUAUAAUGAUAUGGCAGACUAAUAUAUGAAAGCUAUGGAAGGAUCGAUGGAUGUAUGAGGUGACCUGGAUGCAGUUACUGCCUGCAGCAACUGGUAGAGUUGUGCAGGUCACCAAGAUCUGUUUACAUGGAAGAAAUUCAUAGACGAAUUCCCAUUUUUUUCCCUUGCUUGCUAAUUCUUUAAUGGGUCUGAAUCAAAGGACAAAAAAUUAACAUCUUUUUGCAGGUUUUCCUCUGUAGGUACUAGCUGCUGCAGCUUGUUCUUUAAGGGAAGAAGAGAUAUGGGUGGAGCAAUAUUAGAUGAUCAGUUGAUACAACGUAAUGAGUUAAAGUAGUACUGAAGCAGAUGUUCCUCACGGGAAGUGGUGGGUGAUGGCAGCAGUGCAACACAGAGAACAUCAAGGAAAUUAUGAAUGAGGAGUUUGGCGAUGAAAUUCCUGUACUUUCAGCAGCCAAAAAGGAGCACUAUUAGAUCCAUAGACUAUUUGUAGGCCCCUUAAAUCCCAUGCAAGAAGCCUUGUAUCUUAUAUGAUCAGCUUAUCCAUAGCCUCCUAUCAUAAAGCAACUAUAUCGCGUCUAGCAAUUUUGUCCGUACAACAUACUGACUUCUUAUUUAGAGGCACUGCUAUGGCUUAACCAGAUGGAAAGCACCUGCCUAUAUCCCUAGCCUUACGAUUUGGAAGGCAAUUUAGGUUCAAUGGUUUACCAAUGAUGGAACUGCCAUCCCCAUCUCCAACAGCCAGGAAUUUCAAAUCGAGAAACUACAGCUCAUGAAAGCUGAAAAGGAGAGGAUCAGGCAAGAAUAUGAACGGAAAGAGAAGCAAAACAAUGUCGAGAAGAAAGUGUUUAUUUCUUCUUUCGUGAAUAAUACUCAAGUCUAUGUUGGAGGCAAGAGGGAAGGAGCUGCUGUACAUUAGCCGAGAUCACCAUUCAUAUGAGAAUCUUCUUAGGUUACUGUUUUUCAGGAGCUGGGCACUGAUGUUAACUUGUACGCUCUGGUUUUGGAGAAUUUGUUUUGAACAAUUCGGGUUGUUUUUACUUCUCGAGUGCAUGCAAUGGUUGACAAUGUCAUCAGUCAGAAGUGAAGCAGUAGCUGGGGAGAAUUUCUUUAUGAUGGUUUUUUAGUUCCUUGAGACCUUUGUUGGCUCAAUGUCAUCAGCCUUCAAAACAUGGAGUGCUGCGUUUUUGUUCUCUUCCCUUGCUUCUCGUAUAUGUUAGCAUAAGGACUUGGGUUGUCAAGAAUUGUUUCUAUACUAUUCACAGGGAUGGUUAUGAAGCAACUCGCAGCGCUUCAUUUUUGCCUUCUUUCACUUACUGUCAUCUCUAGCGGAAACAUUCGUCUUCAUUUAUGUGGGCUUUGAUAUUGCCAUGGAAGAACAUAUGUGGGUUUCAUAUUCUUCUCAAUUAUAUUUAUAAUACUUGCAACGUACUGUCAGGAGCCCUUAUUCAAAUAUAAUACUUAAUUGGCAGCCAAAGCCAUAUUAUUGUCUAGAUUUGCACAAUUAUGUCUUCUCUAUGGUAAAAGCAUGUAACAGUAGGAUGUAUAUGAAAGGUGUAUCGCCUAACUACAAGGGAAAAUGGAAGGUUCCAUGGAUUGAUAAUCCAGAAUUUGAGGAUGACCCAGACCUAUACAUGCUGAAACCUUCUUGCUGAUUAAUAGGGCUGCGAUGCGGCUGAGGCAGGUAGGAUGGUGAUGUGGUCGUUGGCCCCAGUCAUGGAGCUGGCGCGCCUCGCCAUCGACUCCAACGGUGACCCCGCUUCCAUCCACCGUGCGCUUGACCUCACCAUGCUGCUGUUGACCAUUCAUUUACCUCGAUCUUCUUAGCGUCUAUCUUGUGAAAAUAUGUGAAGGUGCGUGAUAUUCAUGAGGCGAACAAGAACAAAUGCUAGCUACAAGAACACCAUAUGGGAGGCGCUCUGCUAACAAGCUAUAGAUUUUUACUCUAGAUGUGCAUGAAAGAUAUGAAAUCCUUUACUUUUCGGUUGACAUUGUUCAUAUCACAUCUUUGCGUUGUCCAACAGGACAUCAAUUCAUACUUGGCGUUUUUGUUGGAAUUGAUUGUGGUACAAGGACCAUUAGUGGGAUUAAUUGUAUCUAUUAGUCGAUAUGAUCUCUUCCACGGGCACCUCUUCCUUGCUUCUGGGACAGGAAGGCUUGGAAUUCUGGGGGAGGAAUAUUGGAAACAAGGGGGAUGACACGUGCCCCAAAGCAAGUUCCUUUGAAGUUGGGAUGACCCAAGACUCUGAUGGUCAAUUUCGUGAUGUAAUAAAUGCAUAUUUGGAGCCAAAAUGUCAAUGGCCUUAUUCGGAAGCUGUGCAGAGUAUGCGCUCUCCGUUUUUUUGUCGUCGCUUUUGGGUGAUUCAUGGGGAAAUGAUAUUAGGCAGCUGCUAAAUGGUUUUGUGCCAAUGAUUUGUUUCUUCUAUCUCCUUAAGAUCUGCACAGGAGCAUCGGGUGUCCGGGGCAACCAAGCUAAGGCUGGGAGGCUAGGGGAGUAGGAGGGAGAGCGAUGGCUCGGUCAUGAUCCCCUAGCCUCUGCUAUGGUUGGUUGUUGGUUUGGGCAUUGGGCGCCAGAAUCCGUCGGCGGCGAUCAACCUGUGUUGGGUGGAGUGGAGGUGGAUUGGUUUCCCUGUUUGGUUACGUGACAUCCCUGCCAUAGAGUUCCGAACUGACAAUG